UACGUAGGGUGCGAGCGUUAAUCGGAAUUACUGGGCGUAAAGCGUGCGCAGGCGGUUUUGUAAGCCAGAUGUGAAAUCCCCGGGCUUAACCUGGGAAUGGCAUUUGGGACUGCAAGGCUGGAGUGUGGCAGAGGAGACUGGAAUUCCUGGUGUAGCAGUGAAAUGCGUAGAUAUCUGGAGGAAUACCGGUGGCGAAGGCGGCAUCCUGGACCGACAUUGACGCUGAGGAGCGAAAGCUAGGGGAGCAAACGGG
RNAcentral lists this ribosomal RNA (253 nucleotides) under uncultured bacterium. RNAcentral's name for it is "partial 16S ribosomal RNA". It matches the Rfam family "Bacterial small subunit ribosomal RNA", at positions 524 to 776 of the family's 1533-position model. The record is from RNAcentral.